GCGGGCCCUCGCGGCGACGCGGCGGUUGUGAACCCGGUCAGGUCCGGAAGGAAGCAGCCGCAGCAGCCGUUUCGGGCGCCGCGCCCGGGUCUCCCGA
This 97-nucleotide signal recognition particle RNA is filed under the name Gammaproteobacteria bacterium. RNAcentral's name for it is "signal recognition particle sRNA small type". It matches the Rfam family "Bacterial small signal recognition particle RNA". Rfam says of the family: The signal recognition particle (SRP) is a universally conserved ribonucleoprotein involved in the co-translational targeting of proteins to membranes. Archaeal SRP consists of a 7S RNA and homologues of the eukaryotic SRP19 and SRP54 proteins. In most bacteria, the SRP consists of a 4.5S RNA and the Ffh protein (a homologue of the eukaryotic SRP54 protein). The record is from RNAcentral. Lineage: Bacteria; Pseudomonadati; Pseudomonadota; Gammaproteobacteria. RNAcentral also lists the same sequence under 1 other name.